Argentina anserina (silverweed cinquefoil) is the source of this 1603-nucleotide RNA transcript. It is a transcript of the gene named aspartokinase 2, chloroplastic-like, with no coding region annotated. NCBI's taxonomy places the organism in Eukaryota, Viridiplantae, Streptophyta, Magnoliopsida, Rosales, Rosaceae. The record is from RefSeq and is a predicted model, not a curated record. The transcript has 6 exons.
CUUAAGUGCCCUUCUAACAACUUUAUACGGAUAAGUUGACGAGUACACACCCGUAUAAGGGCUCUCAGAUCUGCCGCUACGGUGCUACUCUCUCCAGUAAACACCGACAACUACCCAUAACUUCCUCCUUCAGAUUCGUAACACCACCGACGCCCGACGGUAAUUUCCCUUUCUCGCUCUCUCAAUUGCUUUUGCAUGUUGUUCUCCUAGUAAAAGGGUUCGUCGAAGUAUGCGGUUCAAAUUGCCUUGGAAUUGAAAACCCUUCAUCUCCGAUUUGCCUCGUAUAGUUUGGUUCCAAACCCAUCCUCUCCCGAAGUCAAAACCUUCAAAAUCAAACUCCUCACCCUCCACUAUCCUUCCAAACUUCAGCUCCUCUUUAUUUGCAAACGCAUCUUUUGACUCUUCUCUUCUGGGUUUGACUUUGAAGGCUUCAAGAUCUCUAGGUCUGUGCCUUGGAAGGCUUCGAUUAUGGGUUCAAGUUGUCUACGUUUGCUAAUCAAGGUUUCGAUUUAUUCCCCCCAUCAGAAGACCGAUGAAUCCCGCUCUCAAGCAAGAUUUGGUAUUGGUACACAGGGGUAAUAUGCACCUACUAUUUCUGGACAACCACAGUAUAAAGGAAGGGACUUUGAUAUCACAGGAGAGGGUUAUGCAGUAUUUACAACUUUUGAAGAUUUGGGAAUAUCGGUCGAUGUCGUUGCUACCAGUGAAGUCAAUAUUUUCUUGACAUUGGACCCAUCAAAACUUUGGAGCAGGGAGCUUAUUCAGCAAGCAAGUGAACUUGACCAUGUUGUGGAAGAACUGAAGAAAAUUGUUGUCGUUCAUGAAUUAGAGGAUGAUCAUGGAAUUUGUUAGUAUAUUUGUGUUAAACUUUGUCAUUGGAAUAAGAGUGUAUGUAUAGUUGCAGUUGCAUAUACUGGAUUAUCUAAGUUCUAAGUAUGAAUUAAUAUGUUGUCAUGCUAGUUGUACUUUAAGGAUUGGUGUCCGUAUUGGGAUAUGUACUUCUGUUAUAUGUUCUCUAAGGUUCUCUAACUCAGAAUUUUACUUGUUAUUGUAUGUACUUACAGCUCCUUGGUGCUCUGGUAUUGUACCUUCUUUUAUUACUGUUGAAGAAGAAGGUUUUGUUGUUGCGUUGCUGGCUACAUAUAUGGGUUGGUUCCAAGUCUGGUCCUACUGUGAAGAACAAACGCUUGUCAACUUUUGUUGGGACGUAAGCUGGGAACUGUAGAGUGGUUAAGCUGCGUAGUUUAAUUUGCCGGCGAACUUUGUUGCAAAGGUUGUGUCAUUUAAAGCUAGAAGAAUUGCUUUGUGGAGUGGAAGUUUGUUCAAUGGGAGGAUUGAGUGAAGUGUUGUGACUGUUGUCGAUCGUUCGUAAUCAAGAAUGCCAGUAAGACUGUAAGGGUGGAGUUGUCAAAGACUCAAAGGUGCCUAGACCAGUCUUGCAGUCAUGAUAAAUGCUGCUUUUGGUUGGGUUUGCAGGGCUUCACUACUACAAAAGGGGGCAAAGCCCACGUUCUCACAAAAAAAUUAACUGAUUCGUGGGUUUAUUUCGCACGAAUGUGUAUCUGUGGUCAAUUAAUUCAAAGUCCCCACAUUUAACAUUAAU